AGUGAACGCUGGCGGUAGGCCUAUCACAUGCAAGUCGAACGGCAGCACAGAGGAGCUUGCUCCUUGGGUGGCGAGUGGCGGACGGGUGAGGAAUACAUCGGAAUCUACUCUGUCGUGGGGGAUAACGUAGGGAAACUUACGCUAAUACCGCAUACGACCUACGGGUGAAAGCAGGGGACCUUCGGGCCUUGCGCGAUUGAAUGAGCCGAUGUCGGAUUAGCUAGUUGGCGGGGUAAAGGCCCACCAAGGCGACGAUCCGUAGCUGGUCUGAGAGGAUGCUCAGCCAGACUGGAACUGAGACAAGGUCCAGACUCCUACGGGAGGCAGCAGUGGGGAAUAUUGGACAAUGGGCGCAAGCCUGAUCCAGCCAUACCGCGUGGGUGAAGAAGGCCUUCGGGUUGUAAAGCCCUUUUGUUGGGAAAGAAAUCCAGCUGGCUAAUACCCGGUUGGGAUGACGGUACCCAAAGAAUAAGCACCGGCUAACUUCGUGCCAGCCGCCGCGGUAA
RNAcentral lists this ribosomal RNA (506 nucleotides) under uncultured bacterium. RNAcentral describes it as "partial 16S ribosomal RNA". It matches the Rfam family "Bacterial small subunit ribosomal RNA", at positions 29 to 523 of the family's 1533-position model. The record is from RNAcentral.